RNAcentral lists this ribosomal RNA (836 nucleotides) under Bacillus cereus. RNAcentral describes it as "bacterial SSU rRNA". It matches the Rfam family "Bacterial small subunit ribosomal RNA", at positions 37 to 852 of the family's 1533-position model. The record is from RNAcentral. Lineage: Bacteria; Bacillati; Bacillota; Bacilli; Caryophanales; Bacillaceae.
UGGCGGCGUGCCUAAUACAUGCAAGUCGAGCGAAUGGAUUAAGAGCUUGGUCUUAUGAAGUUAUCGGCGGACGGGUGAGUAACACGUGAGUAACCUGCCCAUAAGUCUGGGAUAACUCCGGGAAACCGGGGGUAAUGCCGGAUAACAUUUUGAACCGCAUGGUUCGAAAUUGAAAGGCGGCUUCGGCUGUCACUUAUGGAUGGACCCGCGUCGCAUUAGCUAGUUGGUGAGGUAACGGCUCACCAAGGCAACGAUGCGUAACCGACCUGAGAGGGUGAUCGGCCACCCUGGGACUGAGACCCGGCCCAGGCUCCUUCGGGAGGCAGCAGUAGGGAAUCUUCCGCAAUGGGGGAAAGUCUGACGGAGCAACUCCGCGUGAGUGAUGAAGGCCUUCGGGUUGUAAAACUCUGUUGUUAGGGAAGAACAAGUGUUAGUUGAAUAAGUUGGCACCUUGACGGUUCCUAACCAGAAAACCACGGCUAACUUCGUGCCAGCAACCGCGGUAAUACGUAGGUGGCAAGCGUUAUCCGGAAUUAUUGGGCGUAAAGCGCGCGCAGGUGGUUUUUUAAGUUUGAUGUGAAAGCCCCCGGCUCAACCGUGGAGGGUCAUUGGAAACUGGGAGACUUGAGUGCAGAAGAGGAAAGUGGAAUUCCAUGUGUAGCGGUGAAAUGCGUAGAGAUUUGGAGGAACUCCAGUGGCGAAGGCCACUUUUUGGUCUGUAUCUGACCCUGAGGCGCGAAAGCCUGGGGAGCAAACAGGAUUAGAUUCCCUGGUAGUCCCCGCCGUAAACGAUGAGUGCUAAGUGUUAGAGGCUUUCCGCCCUUUAGUGCUGAAGU